Clostridium cellulovorans 743B is the source of this 103-nucleotide regulatory RNA element. It matches the Rfam family "SAM riboswitch aptamer (S box leader)". Rfam says of the family: The SAM riboswitch is found upstream of a number of genes which code for proteins involved in methionine or cysteine biosynthesis in Gram-positive bacteria. The SAM riboswitch acts at the level of transcription termination control. The record is from Rfam. Lineage: Bacteria; Bacillati; Bacillota; Clostridia; Eubacteriales; Clostridiaceae.
GCCUUAUCAAGAGAAACUGAGGGACUGGCCCUAUGACGUUUCAGCAACCAUGCUUUAUAGUGAUGGUGCUAAAUCCAGCAGAUUUAAAUCUGAGAGAUGAGGA